Molecule: small nucleolar RNA, 128 nt
Filed under: Cyprinodon variegatus (sheepshead minnow)
Lineage: Eukaryota; Metazoa; Chordata; Actinopteri; Cyprinodontiformes; Cyprinodontidae
Description: Small nucleolar RNA SNORA55 (ENSCVAG00000002463.1)
Source: RNAcentral
GCACCUCUGUAAAACCCCGCCGAUUGGUUCCGUUUGGUGUGGGUCAUACUGGUGCCAGAGAGACUCGAAGUGAAUCCAGAUGGUCCUCUUUAUCAAAUGGAGCCUGUCUCUACAGCUUUGAUACAGUA